UGCCUGGCGGCCAUAGCGCCGUGGACCCACCUGAUCCCAUGCCGAACUCAGAAGUGAAACGCGGUAGCGCCGAUGGUAGUGUGGCAUUCGCCAUGCGAGAGUAGGACACUGCCAGGC
RNAcentral lists this ribosomal RNA (117 nucleotides) under Aeromonas rivuli. The record is from RNAcentral. Lineage: Bacteria; Pseudomonadati; Pseudomonadota; Gammaproteobacteria; Aeromonadales; Aeromonadaceae.